This 499-nucleotide ribosomal RNA is filed under the name uncultured Glomeromycotina. Its description in RNAcentral is "partial small subunit ribosomal RNA". It matches the Rfam family "Eukaryotic small subunit ribosomal RNA", at positions 591 to 1092 of the family's 1831-position model. Lineage: Eukaryota; Fungi; Glomeromycota. The record is from RNAcentral.
CCAAUAGCGUAUAUUAAAGUUGUUGCAGUUAAAAAGCUCGUAGUUGAAUUUCGGAAUCAGUACGCUGGUCGUGCCUUCGGUAUGUACUGGUGUCACUGAUUUCUCCCUUCUGAAGAACCAUCAUGCCAUUAAGUUGGUGUGGCGGGAAAUCAGGACUGUUACUUUGAAAAAAUUAGAGUGUUUAAAGCAGGCUCGCGCUUGAAUACAUUAGCAUGGAAUAAUGAAAUAGGACGUUGGUCCUAUUUUGUUGGUUUCUAGGAUUGACGUAAUGAUUAAUAGGGUGAGUUGGGGGCAUUAGUAUUCAAUUGUCAGAGGUGAAAUUCUUGGUUUUAUUGAAGACUAACUACUGCGAAAGCAUUUGCCAAGGAUGUUUUCAUUAAUCAAGAACGAAAGUUAGGGGAUCGAAGACGAUCAGAUACCGUCGUAGUCUUAACCAUAAACUAUGCCGACUAGGGAUCGGAUGAUGUUAAUUUUUUAAUGACUCAUUCGGCGCCUUACG